This 69-nucleotide transfer RNA is filed under the name Bos taurus (domestic cattle). It matches the Rfam family "tRNA". Rfam says of the family: Transfer RNA (tRNA) molecules are approximately 80 nucleotides in length. Their secondary structure includes four short double-helical elements and three loops (D, anti-codon, and T loops). Lineage: Eukaryota; Metazoa; Chordata; Mammalia; Artiodactyla; Bovidae. RNAcentral also lists the same sequence under 1 other name. The record is from Rfam by way of RNAcentral.
CCUGGUGUCUCAGAUGGUAAAGAACCUGCCUACAAUGCAGGAGACCUGGGUUUGAUCCCUGGGUCAGGA